Nothobranchius furzeri (turquoise killifish) is the source of this 2323-nucleotide non-coding RNA. NCBI's taxonomy places the organism in Eukaryota, Metazoa, Chordata, Actinopteri, Cyprinodontiformes, Nothobranchiidae. The record is from RefSeq and is a predicted model, not a curated record.
AUGAAAAAUUUGCAAAGAAUCCCUUUAAUAAAGCACCUCAUCAUGGUAUCAAUAAGUUAGCCGAAGUCUGCACCGACUUUGACAGGAAAACAAAAUUCAGCCCGAGUCGACAACGAUCCUCUUCUGAUGCUCAUUGAUAUGAAUAAAAAUAGCUAGGACUCAUGUUUACAACGUACUUAAAGAGCAAGUAACGUCUAAAUUAACUUUUUUUUGCUGAUGAACUGUAUAAAUGAGUGUCUAAUAGUGUUUUAAAUGUGUGUAUUCAUUAUUUUAGCAUUUUGGUGCAUUUUCUUAAAAAAUUAAAAAUUCUGCCUAAAUACCACAGUAUAGCUCCACCUUCAGCUUAAAACAUAGAAUAUGACUCAUUUUGAAUAAAUUUUAGCCAAUGGCUAAAGAGUAAGAUACUACGUAAACCAGUAGAGUACUACGUAGCAGCUCUGUGUCAACGUUAUAAAAGCAUCGGGAGUCUCGGCCACGCCUUGUGGCGAGUUGGGAGUUGGAUUUGCAUGAGAGUGUAGGAGGCUAGCCGUAAUUCAGCAUUAGCAUAUAGCAUUAGCAUAUCCUAGUCUUUAGCAUAGCUUUUAGUGUUAUACAUACUUAUUUAGUGUUAGCUUGGCUGUUGGAUAUUGUAGUUUAGUUACUGUUUGGCUGUUAGUGUAAUUAGGAAAGUAGUUCGGGUUUAGUGCUCCAUAUCGUGUUAGCAUGGUGAGAUGGUGUAGUGUAGUAUGGUUGCGGAGCUCUGUCGGGUUGCACUCCUUUCCGCUGGACUUAGAAAUUAGGCGCCAGUGGUUGCGUGUCUGGAAAAGAUUCAGCUCCCGCCUGGUGCUGUAGUUUGCAACCAGCAUUUUACCCACGAUUCUGCACGUCUCCGUUCCAAGAGGGAGGCUGUGCCCACUGUGGCUCUUCCGCGAUUUAGAUACAGCCCACCGACUCUGCUCCCCCACCAUGACGGGCUACAGUCUGAGGUGAGUAAGCUAAAUAAAAGUUUUAACAUCUUCUAAAGACAAUUCCCUUCCUAAAUGCAAAGUUUGAGAGACGUGGUUCACUCCAUUUAGCUAAUAUCAGCCUGCACUGCCUUCGGGCUGAUUUGUCAAGUUCACAAAAUGUGGAACGGGAUGUAAGGUUGGAAUCAGCGGCGAAUCGGAACAUAUCUCAAAGCCCUGGCCGACAAAACGGUCCACAUGACUGUCAGGCUCAGAGAAAAUUCGGGUUGUUUUUGUGUCAGUCGGUAAUUCUGCAACAGUGACUCUAAACUGACGCAGCACUAGUUGACAGACAGCAUUACAGCGUGAAAUCUAGCACAGCGUGACCCGGUUCCGUGAGGAAUUCUGUUCCGGAGGUCGCAUUUCAGGGUCUCCACAUCAUAUGUGACUGACUUUUACGUUAUAAUAACAUCACACACUAGGAAUGUUAUAAAGCGCCUAUAUGGGACAGUGUCUUUUGUAUUUUAUCUGACUUUAUAAACAUCAAUGUGCUUCUAUUUUUUUUUCAGGCUAAAUCUACCCAAGACACUGACUGUCAGACUGAUUUAGUAAUCUGCAAGAAUGCACUUGUCCAGGCUGACGUGGUGUUACCCGUAGCAAAGAGCUCACAGCCUCAGUGUCUUGUGACACAGGGACCAUGACAGAAAUUCAUCUUCCAGAAGGUCCCAGAGCAUCCACACCUCCUGAAAAGACCAAGGUGUGAGGUGUCUGCUGUUGAUUCCAGCUUCCACCUCAGUGACAGUGCAAGCUCAGUGAACUGUUCAAGGUAAAAAAAUUAAAACAUUUCUGAAUUUUUAAGAUAUUAACAAUUAAAUAAGUAUGUGAUUACAUCAUGAAGGAGGCUACUGAUUCUGGCCCUGUGACACUUGGUGGUGACGUGUGAGCUGAUUCACCUGGUAAAUAACUUUUAAAUUAAAUAUUUUGUUUUUGCUAUCAAAAGUAAAUUAACUAAUAACCUGCAUUACUGCAGGACACUCAGCAAAAUAUGGACUCUACACCAUGAGGCAGGCACACGUUAAUAACUCUAUAAGAGCACAUAAGGUAAGCAACACCACAUAUUAUUAUUAUUAAUGUACACUGUCCUGGAUUUGUUUUCUUUCUGCAUCUCAUUAGCCUGGCUGAUCACCUGAUAACUCCUGUCAUCUGGUUAUGACAGCAUGAGGAUGUCCUCACACACCUGUAACCUAUCAGCUCAUCUAGCAGAAUAGAGAGAGAAGAGACAACACCACAUCUCCUGUUCCUGGAAAGCCUUCAGCCAUCCUUCGAUGACUGAGAACCUCCAUCAGCUCUGUCUCCUGUCUGCCUACAAUUAUUAUAAUAAAUAUUGUGUUUGACAAGUU